UACGGGGGGAGCAAGCGUUGUUCGGAUUUACUGGGCGUAAAGGGCGGGUAGGCGGCCACCGCAAGUCGACUGUGAAAUCUCCGGGCUUAACCCGGAAAGGUCAGCCGAUACUGCGGGGCUAGAGUGCAGAAGGGGCAACUGGAAUUCUCGGUGUAGCGGUGAAAUGCGUAGAUAUCGUAAGGAACGCCAGUGGCGAAAGCGAAUCUCUGGGCAGCAACUGACGCUGAGGCACGAAGGCCAGGGGAGCAAACGGG
This 254-nucleotide ribosomal RNA is filed under the name uncultured bacterium. RNAcentral describes it as "partial 16S ribosomal RNA". It matches the Rfam family "Bacterial small subunit ribosomal RNA", at positions 524 to 776 of the family's 1533-position model. The record is from RNAcentral.